CCCCGGAGACAAAAUAGCAACAGUUUGCAAGGUGAUAUUGGUCCUCCGGCCGUAACCAUCGUCAGCAGAGUCGACUGUUUAUUUGUGCGCUUUGGCUGAUUUUAAUGUUACCAGCAGGUAGUGGUAGCAAUGAGCAGACCAAGUGCUGUGCCUCGGCUGAGAUAUUAAACCUCUAAACAUGAACUGAGCUAUGGCCUGACGUUUCGAGUCCUCAUGACCCUUCAACAGAACUCAUGAGGACUCGAAACGUCAACUCUUUUCUUCUCCGCCGAGGCUGCCAGAGCUGCUGAGUUUUUCCAGGUAAUACUGUUUUUGUUUUGGAUUUCCAGUAUCCGCAGUUUUUUGUUUUAUCUAAGCUAUGGCCUCUCGGAUCCUGAACCCAGUCAUUGACUGCUCACCAAAAUUACUAAGUACCUGGACUGUUUCUACUUAUUUUAUUCUUUCCAACCAAUAUCCUAAUUUAAACCACAAAUGUAAACAAGUGUCUGCUAAUAGUAAGAUAAAAGCAAAAUACUGCGGAUGCUGGAAAUCAGAUAGAACAGAAAACGCUGGAAAAACUCAGCAGCUUUGAAAAAGUCAGACAGACUCGAAACGUUAACUUUGUUUUUCCUGUCCCCACAGAUGCUGUCAGACCCGCUGACUUUUUCCAGCAUUUUCUGUUUUUGUCUAGCAAUAGUAACUCUACACAUAUUUACAGUGGAGGAGUUUUUCACGUAUCAUACAAAUCCAAAUUAUUUUAAUUCACAUUCCACAUAUAUUUAAAUAAGAAUGUCACUUAACAGGUGCACGUAUCUUAGGCUCAAAGAGGUAAGAGAAAGCUUUAAAAAGUAUUUUACUUUAAUUAUACCGAAAAUAGUUUUAAAGAUUCACUAAUGAGUGUGAAGUAUCAGGGACCAAACUGCAAAGAAUGAUUCUCCAGUUCCAUGGUUGUCAGAGGGUAUCCAAUGCCUGUUGUUACAAGGCUCCUAUUGUGAACCAAAGGAAAGCUGAGCGUGACUCAUACAUCCCUAGGGAUGGUAUCAAUGGAUUCGCGUCAGCCCAGAGGAGAAAGACCACCAGCUGGCUAUUUGUAAAAGCGCACAAAAACUGCAGACUGUCUGUUGCUAAGAAGACAUUAUCUGAAUAUGAGCCACUCCCAGGUUUCUCGAAUGUGUUACAGGCAUCCUGGAAUAUCUUGACAUUAAAGAACGUGGGUGUCAUUGGCAUUUCCAAUGUUUAUUAUGCAAUCCUAGUUACUCUAAUGUAGCUAAGUGCCUUGCCAGACCACAUUCAUCACAUUCAUGUAGAACUGGAGUCACAUAUAGUCCAGACUGGAUUUUUCUCCUUAACUGAAUUCAAUUUCUCAAGCAGCCACAGUGGGAUUUGAAUUGCCUUCUCUGGAUUACUAGUCCAAUGUAACCAUCUGCGGCACAGUAUGGAUUUAUCCUAGCAGGACAAAUAUGGCAGUCCUCUCAAAGUCCCCAAUUUUGUUACAACUCAUCCAAACAGAGGUGACUUUAUUGGCUUGGACAGGAUGGCAGGAUGAAAAAUGGUCACAUACCCAAGGACUUUCUGUAUGGUGAGGUAGCUGGAGCAAGAUGACCAGUGGGACAUCCAAAGUUCCGCUUUAAGGAAGCUUGCAAGCGUGACAUGAAGGCCCUGGACAUCGAUUAUCGCACCUGGGAGUCACUAGCUGGUGACAGAGGAAAAUGGCGACACAUCCUGUGGGCUGGCAUGCACCACCAUGAUGACCAGCGGCUGCUAGGCAACAGACUUCAACCGAAAACAACAACCCACAAUGACAGUUUGUAGCUUCAUGUGCAGCACUUGUGACAGAACCUCUCUCAAGCAUUGGUCUCUUCAGCCAUCAGCAAGGUGCGCCAUAUGAUGACAUCACAUCUGAAAUGGAUUUGUUGAUGGCUGUGUGUCCAUCAUCCUUUAUAGAUGGAGAGAUACUGGAAUUGAGCAAAAUCAGCUGGAAUACUAUUACAGUCCAUAUACAUUUAAUGGAUUCUGUCAUAUUCCUCUUAAUAUGAUCAAUUUGCCCCUCUCUCCACUUUUCUUUCCUGAUUUUAUGGCUCACAUUUGUGUUUUAUGUAGUACAUUUUGACAAACAGCAGGUGGCACUCCUCAGCCUAGAGUUGCACCAGCAUUCCACAAAAAUCAGGUCUCCUCUUUGGGGAUUUGGAUUUGACUGUAGUUAAUUCCUGAAAACAUUUUUUUUAAGUAAAGGUUUUUAUCUAGGGUUUACUCCUGAGGCAAGCUAAAAAUUGUUAAACUCGGAAACAACUCAGGCCUCAACAGAAAGUGAGUGAACUUAAUUAAAGAUUUCUUUAGAAUUUCUUUAAUUAUUUUGUGUAUUCCUUUAAUCCUCAGUUACCAAUUUAACAACAUAUUUCUGCACUAUUGCAAUAAAACAAGUACUCAGUUGUGUAAUUUUUUUCAGGUACCAUAGUAUACAGCUUAUGUUCCCAGGCUACCAAUUCAAAAACUUGGACUGAUAAUCUAGAUGAGUUAAAUCCCACCAUGGCAUUUUGAAAAUUUGAAUUCAUUCCAAAAGAUAAUCUGGAAAUGAAAAUGUCGGUAUUAAUGAAACUGACCACAAAGGUGUCGGAUUGUCAGAAAUUGUUCUUUAGGGAGGCUUACCUGAUCUGGCCUACACUGAUUCCAGACCCACACCAAUGUGGUUGAAAUGUAAUUGUACUAGCCCACAGUAUCAAACCACUACAAUGGACUGUUGCAGUUCAAGGAGAAAGCCCACCAGCAUCAUCUUCUCAGGGUAACUAGGCUUGGGCAAUAAAUUCCAGCCUUGCCAGCAAGAUCCAUAUCCUGAGAAGGAAUAAAAAAAAUUAUCAAAGUUACAGGUUCCCAAACUGUCCAGCAAUGCCUUGAUUUUAAAAUUAUCAUUUUUAUUUCCAAAUCCCUCCUUGGUCUUAUCCUUCUAUCUCUGUAAACCCCUCCAACUUCUGAAACCCUCCAAUUCUGACAUCUUGCACAUUCAAGAUUUUCAUUGCUCCACCACUGAAAAGAAAACUUGCAUUUAUAUAGUGCCUUUCACAACCUCAGGAUACCUCAAAGUGCUUAGAGCCAAGGAAGUACUUUUUGAAGUAUAAUUAUGAUUAUAGUGUAGGGGCAGCAGCAGCAAAUUUGCACAUGGCAAACUCCCAAAAACAGCGAUUUGUCAAUGAACAGUUAAUUUGAUUUUUUUUUUGCAAUAUUGGCUGAGGGAUGGAUAUAGACCAGGACACUGGGAAUAACUCCGCUGCUCUUCUUUGAAAUAGCGUCAUGGGAUCUUUAACCCCCACCCAGGAGACAGGGCCUUGGUUUAAAGUCUCAUCCAAAAGACAGCACUUCUGACAAUUCAGAAUUUCCUCAGUAUUGCAUUGGAGUGCCAUUGGCGACCUGCUUUCAGCCACCUACCUCCUCAAUUCUGAAAUUAUCUCCCAAACCUCGACGGCCUACCUCUCUCUCCUCCUUUAACUCAUUCCUUGAGACCUACCUCUUUGACCAAGCUUUUGGUCAUCUGUCCUAAUAUCUUAUGUGACCCAGUGUCAAAAUUAGUUUGAAAACACUCCUUUAAAGCACCUUGGGAUAUAAAUGCAAUUGUUCUUGUAUAGUGAUGUGCUAAUGAUAUGCUAAGGUUUACCAAGCUCACCACUGAAUUGCACCAUCAAUCAUGAAGUUUAAAUAAAACUGAAGUCCUAGCUACAA
Carcharodon carcharias (great white shark) is the source of this 3690-nucleotide long non-coding RNA. RefSeq lists it as uncharacterized. The record is from RefSeq and is a predicted model, not a curated record. NCBI's taxonomy places the organism in Eukaryota, Metazoa, Chordata, Chondrichthyes, Lamniformes, Lamnidae. The transcript has 4 exons.